AUACAGAGGGUGCAAGCGUUAAUCGGAUUUACUGGGCGUAAAGCGCGCGUAGGUGGCUAAUUAAGUCAAAUGUGAAAUCCCCGAGCUUAACUUGGGAAUUGCAUUCGAUACUGGUUAGCUAGAGUAUGGGAGAGGAUGGUAGUAUUCCAGGUGUAGCGGUGAAAUGCGUAGAGAUCUGGAGGAAUACCGAUGGCGAAGGCAGCCAUCUGGCCUAAUACUGACACUAAGGUGCGAAAGCAGGGGGAGCAAACAGGAUUAGAUGCCCUGGUAGUCCAUGCCGUAAACGAUGUCUACUAGCCGUUGGGGCCCUUGAGGCUUUAGUGGCGCAGCUAACGCGAUAAGUAGACCGCCUGGGGAGUACGGUCGCAAGACUAAAACUCAAAUGAAUUGACGGGG
Molecule: ribosomal RNA, 396 nt
Filed under: uncultured bacterium
Lineage: Bacteria
Description: partial 16S ribosomal RNA
Rfam family: Bacterial small subunit ribosomal RNA
Source: RNAcentral